This 539-nucleotide ribosomal RNA is filed under the name uncultured archaeon. RNAcentral describes it as "bacterial SSU rRNA". It matches the Rfam family "Archaeal small subunit ribosomal RNA", at positions 350 to 848 of the family's 1478-position model. The record is from RNAcentral.
UCACAAUGUGGGAAACCACGAUGAGGGGAGUCCAAGUGCAUGCGCAUUGCGUAUGCUGUUCAGUUGCCUAAAAAGCUGCUGAAGGAAGGGCUGGGUAAGACAGGUGCCAGCCGCCGCGGUAAUACCUGCAGCCCGAGUGGUGGUCGAUAUUAUUGAGCCUAAAGCGUCCGUAGCCGGUCUGGUAAACCCUUGGGUAAAUCGGGCAGCUUAACUGUUCGAAUUCCGAGGGGACUGCCAGACUUGGGACCGGGAGAGGUCAGAGAUACUCCAGGGGUAGGGGCUAAAGGCGAUCCCGUGUUCAUAUCAAAUAUGAGCCGAUCGCAUAGCAUUCCUGUAAUCCUUGGGGGACCACCAGUGGCGAAGGCGUCUGACUAGAACGGAUCCGACGGUAAGGGACGAAACCCUGGGUCGCAAACCGGAUUAGAUACCCGGGUAGUCCAGGGCGUAAACGCUGCAGGCUUGGUGUUGGGGGUCCUACGAGGGCGCCCAGUGCCGGAGUGAAGAUGUUAAGCCUGCCGCUUGGGAGUACGUCCGCAAGG